AAUGGCAAACAAACAAGCUGUCUUGCUACAAAUAGAUUGGCUUCCCGAAAAAAAAUGUGCUCCACUUCACUCCCGAAUCUCUGAAAGACGUGACCAGCAAUCAGGAAUAAUGUUGCUAAGAUCAUGAUUCCCAUAUAGCUUGACAUUCUCAGCGUUUACCCGGACUAUUGUGCUAGACCCUUUAGGUUCGAAUCCAUUUGGUUCUCUGACCCCUCUCUUUUCGGUCUUGCUGAUCAGCGUUGGAGAGGUAAUAACCUUAAGUUUUCAUGCCUUUGACCGCUUUGGUAAUAUCUUUUUUCUGAAAAGAAACGCGUGGCCGCUAGAUUGCUAGGCACCCAAAAAGCCAUUGAGAACAACCCGUGUUGUUUUCUUUCCAAGCUUGAGCAAUCCUUCACUCGGGAGUACAAUCACUUGCUCCGCCUUGAGGAAGAUUUUUGGGCUCUUAAAUCACGCUUCAAUUGGGUAACUGAGGGUGACCGCAAUACUAAGUUCUUCCACCCAACCACUGUCUCUCGCCGGCGGAGUAAUAAGAUUUAUGAUCUUAAGGAUUAUGAGGUGGUGUGGCACUACGGGGGAGACAUGGUUAAGGGCUUGCUUACUGUUUAUUUUGGUAAAGCUGUUCACCACUCAAGAUUAUAGUGUUUAUCUCUACAGCUCUUGCACUUCGCCGUUUCCCAGGCCAGUUAGCUAGUGAGCUGCAAAAUAACCUUUGCAUUACUCCCUCUUGUACUGAAAUCCUCUCUGCCCUUAAAACCUUGGAAAGCUCCCAGUCCGGACGGGUUCCAUCCGGCCUUCUUUCAAAAAUGUUGGUCAUCCGUUGGUGACUCUGUUUCUAAACCUGAUUACUCACAUUUUUCAUGUGGGUCAGAUUCCUACGGGCCUUAACAAAACUCUGCUUUGCCUCAACCCUACGAUUCAUCGCCUCAAGAUGUUGAUCAUCUCCGCCCGAUCAGUCUUUGUUCCACUGUUUAGAAAUUGGUCACUAAUAUCUUGCUUCUCCAUUUACGCACUUAUUCGAAUGACCUCAUCAGGCCUUUGCAAGCCAGUUUCAUCCCGGGUUGAAGGGGUGUGGAUACGUCGUCUCAAACUCUGAAACACAAGCAGUCGAGCCAGAACUAAUGACUUUGAUGAAAAACAGGUUAUGGGUUGAGAACGGGAAUUGAACUCUAAGGAUAUGUUGUCUCCUCACCCAUUGUUACAUAAAACUAAAGAGAGUUAUCGCAGAAAAGAACGUACAACAUACAACCCAAAUACCCAAUCUCACAUUAUUCAGCCAAUUAAACAGCCCCUAGAGUUUUGUUUCUGGUCAGGGCGUAAGAGUUUAGACCUUUGUUUCUGCAUUUCCAUUUCCAGUAGUAAAAUGAAACACUAUCCAGUAAAAUGAAACACUAUCCAGAAUGAAACCAUGCGCUCAAGUAUCAAGAAGUGGAAACUUAAAACCCCUACAUUCCAUGUCCCAAAUGUUCUAUACAUUUCUAAACGAGAACCGACACCGAACAAGUUUGGGUUACUACCUCCAGCACACUACACUACCCGAGGAGGAAACCGGAAACAAAGAAGAAAUAGACAUUGGAUUAGUACAUUCAGGCACCCUUUUCAGGAAACAACAAACAAUCUCUCCCACUUCAAAUGAGGUCUGUCAUAAAUCUCAGGAGAAGCAGCAAGAAUGAGUCCAGGAUCGUGUUAG
Rhododendron vialii is the source of this 1687-nucleotide long non-coding RNA. RefSeq lists it as uncharacterized. NCBI's taxonomy places the organism in Eukaryota, Viridiplantae, Streptophyta, Magnoliopsida, Ericales, Ericaceae. The record is from RefSeq and is a predicted model, not a curated record. The transcript has 2 exons.